UUGGAAUCCAGAGGCCCUACGCCCGAAACCAAUGUAACAUUCUGUGUCAGCUGUGUGUCAGUUAAAAAAUACUUAGCUCAACUGGGAAGGAGACAGACCACCUGGCAGGAGCAGGCCAUGUAUACAAGCGUGACUUAUGGGCAUGAGGCAACCACUACAGGACCUGCACCCACAAGUUCUGUUAGCAUGGGGAGACUACUUCUCCUUGGUAGGAUCCAGGAGGGCUUCCCAGAGGAGACGGCUUCUGAGCUGAGUUUUGCAGGGUAAACAUGAGCCUCAAGGAGCCUGGUGUCCAGUGCCUGACACACUGUCUGAUGACCAUGAGCGGCCCACGUUGGCAAAGGAGUG
Molecule: long non-coding RNA, 348 nt
Organism: Lutra lutra (Eurasian river otter)
Lineage: Eukaryota; Metazoa; Chordata; Mammalia; Carnivora; Mustelidae
Exons: 3
Source: RefSeq, a predicted model, not a curated record